AAAACGCAUACCUCACGCCAUCCAGCCAGGGUACCGUGAUGGGGAACAGAAGGGAAACGGAUAGCUACUUACGACCAAACCUACAACUUGUUGUCAGUCCGAUUCCAGCGUCUCACCAACAACUUUCUCCAAACCACCCAACUCGUCUCUCCUCUCAAGCGAAGGGGACCCAUUCAUUUUCUUCUCCCGUUUUCUCCAUCUUGUCGUGAUCUCAUCCGAGAAGAAUCUGGAUUCUUGACAAGAGUACUUUUCUUGUCAUGACUUUUCCCACUCGAUACAAAGAUAGAAAGAUCUUGCCCGGAUCAAGAUUUAAGUGACAGUCUCACUCAAUUCUCAAAAGUCCUUCUAACCAGAAGGAUGAGAUCUUCGUCUCCUUCCUCGCCGCCCAGUUCCUCGUAGAUACGUCGCCCGCAUCAUCCUCGUGCUGCUGUACAGUUGAGAUCGAAGAAUGAAAAUAAGCCAACUUCAACUCCUCCCCGAUAAGUAUGGUUGGUAUCAAUGAGCUGAAAGAUUGCUAUUGUGUCCAACAAUCUGAUUCACAUCACAUCUCCUCGCCAGAAAAAUCUCGUCUUUCUUAACCAACCAUUCAGCUUUUGGACGAAAUAAAAAAAAGACAGAGCAAGUGGAGAGAGAGAAAGUCAUUCAAGGAAUUUCGCCUUGUGUGUGGCGUGAUAUUAGGACGGUGUAAUAUUUUACCACGGAUUUACAAAGUGAAAAGUGCCAACAAUUCCCAUCUCAUAAAGAAUCCAGCCAGACACGGUGCCGGACAAGGAAAAGAUGAUAGAACUAGACAAGCUUUGAGCGGAAUGUGCAGGAUUUGUGUAGUAAUAAGUGUAGUUGGCAAAAAAGUAAAAUCUAGCAACACAAUUUUUGGACAGUUAUUUAAUAACUUGUGAAAAGAGAUAGAUAGACCUCUGGUUUCUUCUAAAGUCUAAAAGAAGAUAUAUUGUGCAGCACUUUGGCGUCGUUGGUGGGGAGUGAGUGAGCGAUAAAAGUUGCCGUCGUGAACAAGAUGAAUUGUUAGCAAAAUCAAGAAAAUGUGGUGCAGGUGAGCAUGUUUUCUCGUCACAAGCAGCGGCCGUGCUGAUAGAGCAAGCAGUAUUCAGCACCGAUUGGACGGAGUGAGCAUGAUGGAGAAAGCAGAGGUGGCAGGCGUGUAGGAACGUGUAACCUCGAGUAUUGUGGUGUAUCGUGGUGGAAGGAAGAAGGUAUCAGGCCGUGCCAAAGGUGGAGAUGGUUCGAAUUGCGACAGUAGAAGCCGUGUUGCGUUGAAAGUUGGGAUGCUUUCACCCUCUUCUUAACUUCACAUGUCUUUGGAGCAGAGUCUCAGUAGUAAAAAGGUAACACUCGGGCCCGGAGGAUCCUCAGCUUCUCACCACCAACAGCCGCCGCAAAAAUCCCCGACUGCAUCCUCUGCAGACUCGUCGCCCAAGUCGUCUCCCUCCAGAACCACGAAACUCUCCCUCAAAGGGUUAGGACGCUCUAGCACCUCGGCCAAAAGUUCACGCUCUCCGGUUCGCAGGCAACAAACGCUCUUCGACGGAAAGGAAAAGGACAAGAAAUCCACUGGGUUGCACGAGCUUGGGGAAUACAUCCCAGGAACGAGUGGACCUGCGUAUGUUGACCAUUCCCCAUUUUACGAGGCAAAUGCGACAUCCUCCCAAAAGCAAUCAACUGCCAAUAAGAUAAUCCAUAAUUGGAAGUCUGCUUGUACCACCAAGACAAAGGACUUUAUCAAAAGGUGGAAAACUUUGCCCGAAAACCAUCCAGAUUUUGACCACCUUGGAAGAACUUCGCCGCUCGGUUGUGCAAAUUCGUCCUCCAGUUUGACGGACAUGGUUAAUCCGACGCCGAAUCAGGGGGGCGGUGGGGGGAGCAGUGGUGGUGGGGGUGGGCCGAGUGGGAAGUUUUCGAAGAAGAAGGGAGGAGGUGGUGGAGGUGGUGACCACUCGGCCGAGGUGAGUUCUGGAUUUCAGGCCAUGUCUCUCGGUGGGGGCAAGGGGGGUGGCGUCAGCUUUGCGACGACGAACAACGGCCCGGUGCAAGAUGAUGGUCUGAACGGGGCCAAUAAGUCGUCCACUGGGUGGUCCGUGCAUGUUUGGGCCACCUACGUGCAGCGUGGAAUCGAUGAUGGGACUAUACCCGAGGAUAAGCCACCUAACCGGGAUUUUUUGUCGGACUUUCAAAAAGUAAAAUUCACCCAUUUCUUCAGUCACGUGCUGGACAUGAACAAAGACGAUGUGAUAUCCGCUGAGGAUUUUGUAGCUUUGAACCAGAGGAUCCGACACUACAUCGAGUGGUCUUCGGAAUGCAUAGAAUUUCACAUUUUAAAAGAAGUUCACUCCGGAUUUCUCGAAUGUUUCUUGAACCAACCGCUCGACGAUACUUCAGGAAUGUAUUACUGCAAUGCGGAACGAGAGACGAGACAGAACGUGAAUAUCGAUGAGUGGCUGGACGUCUGGGGAUUUCUUCUCAAUUCGGCCCGGACCCUGGAAGCACUUCCCCUUUGGUUACAAUACUUCCCCAAAAUCCUGUUCCAAGUCAUCAACAAAUCGGGAUCCGGCACCAUAUCAAGAGAAGAGCUUAGAGCGUUUUACACAAUGUUCCUAGGAAUAGAUUUCCGCGUGGUGAACGAAACCUUGGACUCCAUUUACAGCGCUAUGACAGAUAAUGGUCGGAACAAAAUAAGCUACACCUUGUUCAAACUCUGUUUCUCGAACUUUCUAUUUGGAAAAUACCCACACGGACCUGGUCAAUACGUAUUUGGAAUCUGCUCUAAGGACAGUUUGGACUGUCCCUUUCCCAUUGACUACAGUGCCCUCAAUACUCCCAAAGAUGAUUUGGAACCUUACGAUCCGGACAAGGACAAGGGGCAGUCUAAUCGGAGGUCAGUAAUAGUGUAAGUAAGUGAUUGGACCGUGUUGUUGGCGGAAAUCGGAAGUACCACAAUUUUUAACCGAGUUUUCUUUGACCAACGAGAUACAAUUUUUGGAUGCAUGAAGUCACGGAGAAAGUUGUUAUUUUGUGCCACGUUUCCCAUUUUGACCUUUUGACGAAACGAUUUAUAGUCAGUAGAGUUAGGAAGCAGUACCUAAAAUACAUAACUUUAUCAUCUUAUUACCACUAACCACGACGAGAUUGCUGUGAGAAGACAAUCUAAAAUGUACCAGUUUAAGUUAAUUAAGUCUUUAUGAUUGGGUUUCUCGAUGGUAAAUUGUGUGCCUCUACAUAAGAAAUACAUCUAGAAAUUGCCACUCUACAAAUGUACCUAGUCGUAGUGCCCUUUGAUAUUUUAAUUGACGUACGUAUAAAACUUAAUCAAUCUCAAUUACACUAAAUAUAGAAUAGUUUUAGCAAUUACGGAUCGACCCAACCCGAGUGAAAGUAAUUAGUUUUAUUUAUUACACUUUAAAAAAGUUGGCUACUUAACAUUUCAAAAUUCUAUAGCGUUUAAGUUUAUGCCUUGGUUUAUUUAUUCAUUACUGCAGCUACUCGCAUCCGCCAAAGUUACUCAUUAGCCAAGUUUAAUAGCCUGUUGAACUAAUAAAUCAUUAAAUCACAUACUUAUUUCUGCCAUUAUGCUCUGGAUGAAUGCACUACUGCUGUGUGCUAAAUUAAAGUGACAAGUAGACAUUUCCUUACUGCGGAUGCCAGGUUUGACUUGAGUGAUCGAUCCAUCACUUUGUAAACCUCACCUCCUUCCACCCUACUGACUAAUAGCUGAAAAUACAUAGAAUGAAAUGGAUUCGAAAAAAAGUCUUGUAACAAAAAACAGGUCUGGAGGAAAAGACCUUGAGUGUUCUCUCUUUCUCUCUCUCGAACAUAGAAAUAUGUACUUUGAACCUUGUGAGUAUGAGAUCAUGGCUUGUUGACCUUCUGUUUUUAAGAACCUGUGGCUUCAUCGCGUGGUUUUACGUAUAAUGGAGGUUUCCCAGCGUAUGCACUCAGAUUUUGGGUAAAGUAGGGCCAAUUGAUUACAAGUUCAAUUAAUAUGUAAUUUGCAAAAGGCACCAUCUCCCAAUGUUCAGGUUUGGUUAAAAUAUUUGCAUCCCGUGAGGAGAAAAUGCAAAGGAAAUUUUUAAAAAAUGUAAAAUUUGUCAAUUUUAAAGCGCACUUUCUCCACUUUAGAUGCAAAUAUCUACACCAAACUUGAGCAUUGACAAAUAGUGUAUUUAGCAAAUUUCUACUAAUUGAAUUUGUCAUCACGACUCUACUUUGCCCAAAAUCGGAGAGCAUACGCUGUGAAACCUCCAUUGUUAGCUAUUACAUGAAUGAAUGUCUGACAUGCUAUUAUAAAUUUAAUAUUCUUACUAAUGCUUCACAAUACUAACAAGUUUUCUCAUUUAUUAUGCUAUUUACAAGUACAUACAUAAUAAUUAAUUUGCUAUUAUUAUACUUCUUGUUUGACUAAAUACUAAAAACUUACAUAAUUCAAAAUAUAUAAAUAUGUAUUUGAUGUUCAUUAAACCAAAUUAAUAAUGCAUAGUUAAGGAAGUUAUAUAAAUAUGUAAAUACGUCACUAUCAUACAUAGGUUAAACUUCACGAAGCAUGGUUUCGUUGAAAAUUGUAUAUAUAAAUCUAAACAUGAAAAUUUUAUGGAAAUAUAUAAAAGUGUGAAACAAAA
Folsomia candida is the source of this 4625-nucleotide RNA transcript. RefSeq lists it as uncharacterized. The transcript is spliced from 13 exons. Lineage: Eukaryota; Metazoa; Arthropoda; Collembola; Entomobryomorpha; Isotomidae. The record is from RefSeq and is a predicted model, not a curated record.